GGGUUGUGAGGUUAAGUGACUAAGCGUACACGGUGGAUGCCCUGGCAGUCAGAGGCGAUGAAGGACGUGCUAAUCUGCGAAAAGCGUCGGUAAGGUGAUAUGAACCGUUAUAACCGGCGAUGUCCGAAUGGGGAAACCCAGUGCAAUUCGUUGCACUAUCGUUAACUGAAUACAUAGGUUAACGAGGCGAACCGGGGGAACUGAAACAUCUAAGUACCCCGAGGAAAAGAAAUCAACCGAGAUUCCCCCAGUAGCGGCGAGCGAACGGGGAGCAGCCCAGAGUCUGAAUCAGCUUGUGUGUUAGUGGAACGGUCUGGAAAGUCCGACGGUACAGGGUGAUAGUCCCGUACACCAAAAUGCACAGGCUGUGAACUCGAAGAGUAGGGCGGGACACGUGGUAUCCUGUCUGAAUAUGGGGGGACCAUCCUCCAAGGCUAAAUACUCCUGACUGACCGAUAGUGAACCAGUACCGUGAGGGAAAGGCGAAAAGAACCCCGGCGAGGGGAGUGAAAAAGAACCUGAAACCGUGUACGUACAAGCAGUGGGAGCACCUUCGGGUGUGACUGCGUACCUUUUGUAUAAUGGGUCAGCGACUUAUAUUCUGUAGCAAGGUUAACCGUAUAGGGGAGCCGCAGGGAAACCGAGUCUUAACUGGGCGUUAAGUUGCAGGGUAUAGACCCGAAACCCGGUGAUCUAGCCAUGGGCAGGUUGAAGGUUGGGUAACACUAACUGGAGGACCGAACCGACUAAUGUUGAAAAAUUAGCGGAUGACUUGUGGCUGGGGGUGAAAGGCCAAUCAAACCGGGAGAUAGCUGGUUCUCCCCGAAAGCUAUUUAGGUAGCGCCUCGUGAACUCAUCUUCGGGGGUAGAGCACUGUUUCGGCUAGGGGGUCAUCCCGACUUACCAACCCGAUGCAAACUACGAAUACCGAAGAAUGUUAUCACGGGAGACACACGGCGGGUGCUAACGUCCGUCGUGAAGAGGGAAACAACCCAGACCGCCAGCUAAGGUCCCAAAGUCAUGGUUAAGUGGGAAACGAUGUGGGAAGGCACAGACAGCCAGGAUGUUGGCUUAGAAGCAGCCAUCAUUUAAAGAAAGCGUAAUAGCUCACUGGUCGAGUCGGCCUGCGCGGAAGAUGUAACGGGGCUAAACCAUGCACCGAAGCUGCGGCAGCGACACUAUGUGUUGUUGGGUAGGGGAGCGUUCUGUAAGCCUGCGAAGGUGUGCUGUGAGGCAUGCUGGAGGUAUCAGAAGUGCGAAUGCUGACAUAAGUAACGAUAAAGCGGGUGAAAAGCCCGCUCGCCGGAAGACCAAGGGUUCCUGUCCAACGUUAAUCGGGGCAGGGUGAGUCGACCCCUAAGGCGAGGCCGAAAGGCGUAGUCGAUGGGAAACAGGUUAAUAUUCCUGUACUUGGUGUUACUGCGAAGGGGGGACGGAGAAGGCUAUGUUAGCCGGGCGACGGUUGUCCCGGUUUAAGCAUGUAGGCUGGUUGUCCAGGCAAAUCCGGAUAAUCAAGGCUGAGGUGUGAUGACGAGGCACUACGGUGCUGAAGUAACAAAUGCCCUGCUUCCAGGAAAAGCCUCUAAGCAUCAGGUAACAUCAAAUCGUACCCCAAACCGACACAGGUGGUCAGGUAGAGAAUACCAAGGCGCUUGAGAGAACUCGGGUGAAGGAACUAGGCAAAAUGGUGCCGUAACUUCGGGAGAAGGCACGCUGGUGUGUAGGUGAAGUCCCUGCGGAUGGAGCUGAGACCAGUCGAAGAUACCAGCUGGCUGCAACUGUUUAUUAAAAACACAGCACUGUGCAAACACGAAAGUGGACGUAUACGGUGUGACGCCUGCCCGGUGCCGGAAGGUUAAUUGAUGGGGUUAUCCGUAAGGAGAAGCUCUUGAUCGAAGCCCCGGUAAACGGCGGCCGUAACUAUAACGGUCCUAAGGUAGCGAAAUUCCUUGUCGGGUAAGUUCCGACCUGCACGAAUGGCGUAAUGAUGGCCAGGCUGUCUCCACCCGAGACUCAGUGAAAUUGAACUCGCUGUGAAGAUGCAGUGUACCCGCGGCAAGACGGAAAGACCCCGUGAACCUUUACUAUAGCUUGACACUGAACAUUGAGCCUUGAUGUGUAGGAUAGGUGGGAGGCUUUGAAGCGUGGACGCCAGUCUGCGUGGAGCCAACCUUGAAAUACCACCCUUUAAUGUUUGAUGUUCUAACGUUGGCCCCUUACCGGGGUUGCGGACAGUGUCUGGUGGGUAGUUUGACUGGGGCGGUCUCCUCCCAAAGCGUAACGGAGGAGCACGAAGGUUAGCUAAUCCUGGUCGGACAUCAGGAGGUUAGUGCAAUGGCAUAAGCUAGCUUGACUGCGAGCGUGACGGCGCGAGCAGGUGCGAAAGCAGGUCAUAGUGAUCCGGUGGUUCUGAAUGGAAGGGCCAUCGCUCAACGGAUAAAAGGUACUCCGGGGAUAACAGGCUGAUACCGCCCAAGAGUUCAUAUCGACGGCGGUGUUUGGCACCUCGAUGUCGGCUCAUCACAUCCUGGGGCUGAAGUAGGUCCCAAGGGUAUGGCUGUUCGCCAUUUAAAGUGGUACGCGAGCUGGGUUUAGAACGUCGUGAGACAGUUCGGUCCCUAUCUGCCGUGGGCGCUGGAGAAUUGAGGGGGGCUGCUCCUAGUACGAGAGGACCGGAGUGGACGCAUCACUGGUGUUCGGGUUGUCAUGCCAAUGGCACUGCCCGGUAGCUAAAUGCGGAAGAGAUAAGUGCUGAAAGCAUCUAAGCACGAAACUUGCCCCGAGAUGAGUUCUCCCUGAGACUUUAAGUCUCCUGAAGGAACGUUAAAGACGAUGACGUUGAUAGGCCGGGUGUGUAAGCGCAGCGAUGCGUUGAGCUAACCGGUACUAAUGAACCGUGAGGCUUAACCUUACAACGCCGAAG
Molecule: ribosomal RNA, 2923 nt
Filed under: Klebsiella pneumoniae
Lineage: Bacteria; Pseudomonadati; Pseudomonadota; Gammaproteobacteria; Enterobacterales; Enterobacteriaceae
Description: bacterial LSU rRNA
Rfam family: Bacterial large subunit ribosomal RNA
Source: RNAcentral